UCCCAAAGCAGCCUACAUAUUCAGUACAAUUCUACCAAUAUGCCAACAGCAUUCUCAGAAAUAGAAAAAACAAUCCUACAAUUUCUAUGGAACCGCAAAAGACCCAGCAUAGCCAAAGUUAUUCUAAGCAAAAAGAACAAAACUGGAGGAAUCACAUUACCUGACUUCAAAUAAUACUACACAGCUAUG
Long non-coding RNA from Sapajus apella (tufted capuchin), 189 nucleotides. RefSeq lists it as uncharacterized. The transcript has 3 exons. The record is from RefSeq and is a predicted model, not a curated record. Lineage: Eukaryota; Metazoa; Chordata; Mammalia; Primates; Cebidae.